Myotis davidii is the source of this 2054-nucleotide long non-coding RNA. RefSeq lists it as uncharacterized. The record is from RefSeq and is a predicted model, not a curated record. The transcript is spliced from 2 exons. Lineage: Eukaryota; Metazoa; Chordata; Mammalia; Chiroptera; Vespertilionidae.
UUCUUUUUUAAGUCUCCUUUCUAUUUAGCAUUAAACUCAUAUACCAUUUCCUGAAAUAAAGCCAAUAGAAGUUAAAUUAAUGAAAACUAACUAGAAUUUUUCCUGAGUUCUGCUUUCUUUCCAAGGCAGAGUAUGACAAGAUGGAUCCAUAUCCAUAUUUUGGGUGGCAUUGAUGACUCAGAUAAUGACCUAUACCUUUGCAGCAACAACUGAAUGAUGUCUAUAGAUAGAGUUUUUAACUCACUAGCUGACAACCUGGAUUUCAUUCAAUUUUAUGGGAUGAUGGUCCUGCCACUGUCAAGAAGUUUGUUCCAUGCACUAUCCAAGAAAAUAAUGGGAUCUAGAAACAUGUUAGUCCUGCAUUUCGAUCCAGCCUGAGAGCAUUUUCCAGUGUGUCUGGGCAACGUUACAGGUGUAUUUAACCUCUAAUGCACCUGAAAUAUUAGACCCUUGUAAUACAGAGUCAUAGAAAACAAAACCCUUGUUAAACCAGUCAUUAGCUAUUAAACAAAACAGAGAAACAACACUGGAUGGAUGUUUGAGAAAACAAGACGUAAUCACUGGCUUGUAUGGACAGGUAGUUCUGAAAACGGGCAUGUCUUCUGAAAUGUGUUAGUUCCUUAUGGGCAGUGCCCUGGUGACAUAGUUCUCCAUGAAGAACAUUUUGCUGAGUUUGCCGUGAUCUGAAAUUAUGAUGCUGCUGCUGUGGAUGAAAAGACUAAUGCGGCCCCUUGAUAUCUUUUCACACAUAUCCAUCAUUCUGGUCAUUCAGCCUCCAUAAAAGUGAUGCAGUGGAUAAAAGUGGUUUAUCAAUAUUUUAAAAAUGCUGUGAAAAUGGAUGGUUCUUUUGUUCAAUGAGACAGGUUUAAAGAUAUGAAAUAUGGUUAUUGAAUUCCCUCCCUCCCUUAAGUGCAGAGAGUAGGGUCACUGGAAUUACAUUCAAUCAGUAGGGUACAGACUGUACCGAAUGUGGGGGAGACCCACACCCUGAACCAUUGAAGGCCAUGAUGAAUGUUCAUUUUUUUAUAUUAUGUUUUUGCUGCUCAUUAAGAGGCACCGUGUCCAAAAUGAAAAACCUUUAGAUUCGGGAUUCAAUAGUUCACUUCUUUUGGAUUGUGCCUGAUGGGAAUUUGGACACCGCCGAGUGUAAUUAUGUUUUUCAGCAAUGUGACUUGUGGGGCUGCAGAUAUGGGUGUGCUUCAGCGAUUUCUUGCCAAGAUCUGGCUGAAAAGGAGCUGGGUGGUUGUUUUUUAAAAAUAUAGUAAUUAGGCUAUUAGUUGUUCAAAUGGAAUAAUUCCCUUAAGCCUUUUCAAGAAAAACACUUCCAAAAAGGUCAAGUGCAUUUAAAAUUAGCCAUUAUUUAUGUAGGUGUUCAGCCUUUUGCCCACAACUCCUCCAGGAGUUGUUUCUUUUUGGAAAAAAAAAAAAUGUUGCUUGUGUCUGUCAGAAAUCGUACGAUUUUUCAAAGAGGUUCAGAACUGGUUCUUAGGUCAAAAGCAGCCAAAUCCCUGGCUUCACAGAAGGUUCAUCAUAGAGUCAUCUCUUUGUCAUCUGCGGAAUGCUACCCUGAGUGUUCCCCUGGCCUUUGGACAGUCUCUUCUGUGGACCUGGAGAAGGAGCUGGCAGGGGCCUUACCGGCCGCUCAGACGGAGAAAAAUUCAGAACAAAGUAAAAAAGAGGCAGCGAAUUGUGGGGUUGGAUUGGAGCCCAGGCCUGUGUUGCUGACCUCUGGGCUCAGAUCUGCCCUGGGAUGGAACCCGCUCACCCGAUGCAGACUCCUGAUGGCACGCCACCGCCCUAUGCCUCCCCCACGACACACCCUCUGGGUGUGUCUCAUCUUCUAGCUGGAAGAUCGGCUUUCUUUCUGUUCUUAUUGGGCCUUUUUGAAUUGCAAAUCAGCCAAAACUGACAGCGGUCACAUUUUAAGUCCUGGUAAUUGCCCCAGCUCCCUCAGGGAGUUUCAUCAUUGUAAAGAAGUAUAAUUACUUCCAAACGUUAUUUUUCUUUCAUUUUCUCUCUCUACCCUUUCCUUUAAUUAAACACUUUGCAUUUUA